GGCCGGGUGGCCUAAUGGUAAGGCGUUUGAUUUCGGUGGAAUAUUCCGCAAGGGAGAAGACCUCAAAUCUCAAAAGAUUGCGUGUUCGAGUCGCGCCUCGGUCG
RNAcentral lists this transfer RNA (104 nucleotides) under Aspergillus calidoustus. It matches the Rfam family "tRNA". From Rfam's summary of the family: Transfer RNA (tRNA) molecules are approximately 80 nucleotides in length. Their secondary structure includes four short double-helical elements and three loops (D, anti-codon, and T loops). Further hydrogen bonds mediate the characteristic L-shaped molecular structure. tRNAs have two regions of fundamental functional importance: the anti-codon, which is responsible for specific mRNA codon recognition, and the 3' end, to which the tRNAs corresponding amino acid is attached (by aminoacyl-tRNA synthetases). tRNAs cope with the degeneracy of the genetic code in two manners: having more than one tRNA (with a specific anti-codon) for a particular amino acid; and 'wobble' base-pairing, i.e. permitting non-standard base-pairing at the 3rd anti-codon position. Lineage: Eukaryota; Fungi; Ascomycota; Eurotiomycetes; Eurotiales; Aspergillaceae. RNAcentral also lists the same sequence under 1 other name. The record is from Rfam by way of RNAcentral.